Long non-coding RNA from Chinchilla lanigera (long-tailed chinchilla), 808 nucleotides. RefSeq lists it as uncharacterized. Lineage: Eukaryota; Metazoa; Chordata; Mammalia; Rodentia; Chinchillidae. The transcript is spliced from 2 exons. The record is from RefSeq and is a predicted model, not a curated record.
AAUACACGACACUGGUCUAAUGUACUAAGAACCAAGUCUAGAGCUGAACAGUGAAGGACCCUGCUGAUGAUCCUGGUCAAUAGAAAAUUCUCAGGUUUCUAAGGGAACAAGGAAAUGGAACAAUGGGGAUUUUGUGAGACUAGUCCAGACUCCUUGGAGUCCUGAAACCAGCUCCACCCACAGCAGCAUAAGGAACAGCAGGAAGCCCAUGUCAUACAUUUAAGGCUGUCAAGCAGACAUCUGAGCUCUACAGAUGACCCCUCUGGGUGAGACAAGAAAGGGCAAGGCCAAACAAGACAGAAACUUUGGGCAGAAUUUUUCCCUGUAACAUGGGUUCCCCACCGUGCCAGGCUUUUACAUUUGGUUUUGACUCAUUGGAAAAACUGACCAGAACUCAAGAAGAGGUGCUUUGAUGCUACAGCUCCGCGCACUGCGCAUCUUGAGGAGGGAGAAGUGGAGAGAGCAAGACCAGCUACCUGGCUCCGCAGACUCUCAAGCAACUUGGUCUGUUACAAAGCACACUCUUGAAAGAGGCUGCUUUUUGUUUUCCUAACAACUGGGUAACAAACACGCUGAUGAGUGAAAAGACUUAAGGACACCCAGCUGACACUGCAAAACACACCGAGACAUCCAUCCAGAGGCAGUUCUCGGCUUUGCACAAAGAACAGAACAAUUACUAUGUACAGGUCAGGUCACACUCACAGCCCAUCCAACCAAAGAGUUCACGUCUGACAUUGUACACAAACAAGGCUGGACUUUGAAAAGUAAUGCUGAAGAAGGCAUCCAAUAAAUUUCACCUGCAUUUAUA